CCCUUAGAUGUCCUGGGCCGCACGCGCGUUACACUGAUGCAUUCAACGAGCUUAUAACCUUGGCCGAGAGGCCUGGGCAAUCUUGUUAACGUGCAUCGUGAUAGGGAUAGAUUAUUGAAAUUAUUAAUCUUGAACGAGGAAUUCCUAGUAAACGCAGAUCAUCAAUCCGCAUUGAUUACGUCCCUGCCCUUUGUACACACCGCCCGUCGCACCUACCGAUUGGAUGGUCCGGUGAAGCCUCGGGAUUGUGGUUCUUGCCGCUUUAUUGUGGCGUGACCGCGAGAACUUGUCUAAACCUUAUCAUCUAGAGGAAGGUGAAGUCGUAACA
Molecule: ribosomal RNA, 328 nt
Filed under: uncultured eukaryote
Lineage: Eukaryota
Description: partial 18S ribosomal RNA
Rfam family: Eukaryotic small subunit ribosomal RNA
Source: RNAcentral